RNAcentral lists this unclassified non-coding RNA (324 nucleotides) under soil metagenome. RNAcentral's name for it is "partial contains 5.8S ribosomal RNA, internal transcribed spacer 2, and large subunit ribosomal RNA". The stretch from base 1 to 120 matches the Rfam family "5.8S ribosomal RNA", at positions 35 to 154 of the family's 154-position model. The record is from RNAcentral.
GAUGAAGAACGUAGCGAAAUGCGAUAAGUAGUGUGAAUUGCAGAAUUCAGUGAGUCAUCGAAUCUUUGAACGCACAUUGCGCCCCUUGGUAUUCCAUGGGGCAUGCCUGUUCGAGCGUCAUUUGUACCUUCAAGCUUUGCUUGGUGUUGGGUGUUUGUCCCGAGGGACUCGCCUUAAAGUAAUUGGCAGCCAGUGUUUGGUUUUGAAGCGCAGCACAAGUCGCGAUUCAAGGCUACACGCCCGCUUCCACAAGCCUUUUUUCACUUUUGACCUCGGAUCAGGUAGGGAUACCCGCUGAACUUAAGCAUAUCAAUAAGCGGAGGA